This 804-nucleotide ribosomal RNA is filed under the name Harringtonia lauricola. RNAcentral's name for it is "Raffaelea lauricola partial large subunit ribosomal RNA". It matches the Rfam family "Eukaryotic large subunit ribosomal RNA", at positions 79 to 906 of the family's 3401-position model. Lineage: Eukaryota; Fungi; Ascomycota; Sordariomycetes; Ophiostomatales; Ophiostomataceae. The record is from RNAcentral.
CCCAGUAACGGCGAGUGAAGCGGCAACAGCUCAAAUUUGAAAUCUGGCCCCCCGCGGGCCCGAGUUGUACUUUGGAGAGGACGCUUCUGGCGCGGCGCCGUCCGAGUUCCCUGGAACGGGACGCCGGAGAGGGUGAGAGCCCCGUACGGGCGGCCGCCUAGCCUCUGCGAAGCUCCUUCGACGAGUCGAGUAGUUUGGGAAUGCUGCUCAAAAUGGGAGGUAAAUUUCUUCUAAAGCUAAAUACCGGCCAGAGACCGAUAGCGCACAAGUAGAGUGAUCGAAAGAUGAAAAGCACUUUGAAAAGAGGGUCAAACAGUACGUGAAAUUGUUGAAAGGGAAGCGCCUGUGGCCAGACUUGCGCCCCGCGGACCACCCGGCGCCUCGCGCGCCGGGGCACGCCAGCGGGGCGCAGGCCAGCAUCGGCUCUCUCGGGGGGACAAAGGCCGCGGGAACGUAGCGCCCUCGCGGCGUAUUAUAGCCCGCGGCGCCAUGCCCCCGGGGGGGCCGAGGACCGCGCUCCGGCAAGGAUGCUGGCGUAAUGGCCACCGGCGACCCGUCUUGAAACACGGACCAAGGAGUCAAGCAUUGGGGCGAGUGUCUGGGUGGCAAGCCCGCACGCGGAAUGAAAGUGAACGCAGGUGGGAGCUUCGGCGCACCACCGACCGAUCCUGAUGUCCUCGGAUGGAUUUGAGUAGGAGCCCCGCCGCUUGGACCCGAAAGAUGGUGAACUAUGCCUGUAUAGGGUGAAGCCAGAGGAAACUCUGGUGGAGGCCCGCAGCGGUUCUGACGUGCAAAUCGAUCGUC